This 789-nucleotide ribosomal RNA is filed under the name uncultured bacterium. Its description in RNAcentral is "bacterial SSU rRNA". It matches the Rfam family "Bacterial small subunit ribosomal RNA", at positions 8 to 796 of the family's 1533-position model. The record is from RNAcentral.
AGAGUUUGAUCCUGGCUCAGAUUGAACGCUGGCGGCAUGCCUUACACAUGCAAGUCGAACGGCAGCGCGGGGCAACCUGGCGGCGAGUGGCGAACGGGUGAGUAAAAUAUCGGAACGUACCCUGGAGUGGGGGAUAACGUAGCGAAAGUUACGCUAAUACCGCAUACGAUCUAAGGAUGAAAGUGGGGGACCGCAAGGCCUCACGCUCCUGGAGCGGCCGAUAUCUGAUUAGCUAGUUGGUGGGGUAAAGGCCUACCAAGGCAUCGAUCAGUAGCUGGUCUGAGAGGACGACCAGCCACACUGGAACUGAGACACGGUCCAGACUCCUACGGGAGGCAGCAGUGGGGAAUUUUGGACAAUGGGCGCAAGCCUGAUCCAGCAAUGCCGCGUGAGUGAAGAAGGCCUUCGGGUUGUAAAGCUCUUUUGUCAGGGAAGAAAAGGUGCGGAUUAAUAAACUGCGCUCAUGACGGUACCUGAAGAAUAAGCACCGGCUAACUACGUGCCAGCAGCCGCGGUAAUACGUAGGGUGCAAGCGUUAAUCGGAAUUACUGGGCGUAAAGCGUGCGCAGGCGGUUUUGUAAGUCUGUCGUGAAAUCCCCGGGCUCAACCUGGGAAUUGCGAUGGAGACUGCAAGGCUAGAAUCUGGCAGAGGGGGGUAGAAUUCCACGUAGCAGUGAAAUGCGUAGAGAUGUGGAGGAACACCGAUGGCGAAGGCAGCCCCCUGGGUCAAGAUUGACGCUCAUGCACGAAAGCGUGGGGAGCAAACAGGAUUAGAUACCCUAGUAGUCC